GUGUGGGGGAUAGCCGGCCCAACGGCCGGGUAAUACCGCAUACGCUCUUUGGGGGGCAUCCCCUGGAGAGGAAAGGAGCAAUCCGCAGGCGGAGGGGCUCGCGGCCUAUCAGCUAGUUGGUGCGGGUCAUGGCCCACCAAGGCGACGACGGGUAGCUGGUCUGAGAGGAUGGCCAGCCACAUUGGGACUGAGAGACGGCCCAGACUCCUACGGGAGGCAGCAGUGGGGAAUCUUGCGCAAUGGCCGCAAGGCUGACGCAGCGACGCCGCGUGAGGGAGGAAAGUCUUCGGAUCGUAAACCUCUGUUGCCCGGGACGAAACGCCGCUUUCGAGCGGUUUGACGGUACCGGGUGAGGAAGCACCGGCUAACUCCGUGCCAGCAGCCGCGGUAAUACGGAGGGUGCGAGCGUUGUCCGGAAUCACUGGGCGUAAAAGGCGCGUAGGCGGCGGGAUCAGCGUGCGGUGAAAGCUCGGGGCUCAACCCCGAGUCGGCCGUGCGAACUGUCUCGCUGGAGCACUGUAGAG
This 524-nucleotide ribosomal RNA is filed under the name uncultured bacterium. RNAcentral's name for it is "bacterial SSU rRNA". It matches the Rfam family "Bacterial small subunit ribosomal RNA", at positions 134 to 656 of the family's 1533-position model. The record is from RNAcentral.